Long non-coding RNA from Passer domesticus (house sparrow), 714 nucleotides. RefSeq lists it as uncharacterized. The transcript has 3 exons. NCBI's taxonomy places the organism in Eukaryota, Metazoa, Chordata, Aves, Passeriformes, Passeridae. The record is from RefSeq and is a predicted model, not a curated record.
UGUGCACGGUGAAUGACUCUGAGCUCCUUGGUUACUGGCACAGUAUAAACCAGGGGUGAGAGCAAACUGCUCACACAUAUCAAGGGGAAGUGGGCUGGGAGGAAGGGAGAGAAAGAAACCUGGAAUGCUUGGCCCAGGGUCAGAGGAAAAAGAAUUUCAGAGCUAGGUGGCAAUUUUAAGAGCUCAGGAAGGCCUGAGGAAUGACCCUCGCAUCAAGAGCAAGCUCCAGCCACAAGCACUGGAGCUCAGGACGUGCCCGGACUUUCCCCCACGUGCCCAGCUGUGACCACAUGUACUGAAUAGCGUCUCUGGGGAGAGACACACAGGUGCAGCUAUUUGGUUCAGCAGCUGGGACCAGGCAGACCAAGGCAGUCCCAUUCAGUAAUAUUGAAAAAGUCAACAGUUCAAAAACAUCAUUAUCUGCUAUGACUUUCCUCACAAGUGCUGCAGUACUGAGCUCCUUGCACAGCCACUGUAAACACUGAGCAAGAACAUCAAUGCUCUUCAGAUUAUCAGCCUGAGAGCAGUCAGGCUUCUUGUGCACAGAACACACCACAAAGAUUCCACAGCCAUCGGGAGCUAGUUUCCAGGUAAACAUAUGAGUGACGGCAGAUAAACCUGUAUUCCAUUAAAAUGGCAGCAGUGAAAACCUUUAGAAGGAGAUAAUUCAAGGAAAACUCUGUUGUACAUUACUGAUUCUGCACAGUACUUCAC